GUUGGGGCCAAGGGGUCCCUCUUAUAGCUAUCAGCCCCACAGGCAUUUAGUCUACGUUGGAGGGUAAACAAAUACGGGUCCAGCCUUAGGAGAAAACAAAAACGUCUUACAGCCAGUGUCUAAACUCCAAACAACGGAAUGUAUCAAUGAGACCUUGUAUAUGGAUACACGUGCAUUUAAAACCGCCCUGCCGG
This is a non-coding RNA of Pongo abelii (Sumatran orangutan), 194 nucleotides long. NCBI's taxonomy places the organism in Eukaryota, Metazoa, Chordata, Mammalia, Primates, Hominidae. The record is from Rfam.